Molecule: unclassified non-coding RNA, 292 nt
Organism: Chlorocebus sabaeus (green monkey)
Lineage: Eukaryota; Metazoa; Chordata; Mammalia; Primates; Cercopithecidae
Gene: 7SK
Rfam family: 7SK RNA
About the family: 7SK was discovered as an abundant small nuclear RNA in the mid-70s but a possible function has only recently been suggested. Two independent studies have found that 7SK RNA binds the CDK9/cyclin T complex (known as elongation factor P-TEFb).
Source: Ensembl
GUGAGAGUCAUCUGGCUUCAACAUCACCCCACUGAUCACCAGGGUUGCUUGGGCUGAUCUGUCUGGCUAGGCAGGUGCCCCUUCCAACCUUACUGUUCCAUGUGCAUCCCUCCUGAAGCCAAGAGCUUAAUCGAAGGGAGCAACCUUCCCAGAUAGAGAGGACUGUUGGUCAUCCAGGGUAUACUGGUUGUUGUGCUACUGUGCUAGAACCUCCAGAUAAGUUCUCAGUAUAAACCAGUGAUUCUCAGAAACAGUUAUAUUAAAAAUAAAUUAUUAUCCUGAUUAAUACAUU